UAACCUGGCAGAUUCUUAUUGGCUUGAAAAAGGUGCGAAAUCAGUUUCUGAGUAAGGCAAAAUCUCUUUAUGAGGCUAUAAUGAAGAUCAGAAGAGAAGAAGGCUCGAAGAGAAUGAUUGUUUCUGGAAAUCGAUGGUGGGAAUGAGCGUUCAACCGUUCAACGGGAAGCCGAUGAAGACGGCAAGAUCUCACGGGAAGAAGUUUCGGGUCACGGUGGAGAAGGAGACAUGUAGGAUCUUGGGAAACUUGGGAUGGGCUUAUAUGCAGCUUUCGAAAGACCCGGGAGAGAGGAAGAACAUGGAACCAAAUCAAUGUAAUAAGAGAUAAAGCUAUGGUGGGUUUGAGACCUCCAGCUUGAUGUUAAAGGCUGCAAAGAUGUAUAUGCUUCUUUUGACAAGUAUGUUGAAGUUGAACGACUUGAAGGAGACAACAAAUACCAGGCAGAAGGACAUGAUUUGCAGAUAAACGAUCGAUAUGAGUUUCCUCUUCAACUGGAUCUCGACAGAGAGAAUGGAAAAUACUUAUCCCCCGAUGCUGACAAGAGUGUUCGUAAUCUAUACACACUCCAUAGUGUCUUAGUCCAUAGUGGAGGAGUGCAUGGAGGGCACUAUUAUGCUUUUAUUAGGCCAACACUCUCAGAUCAAUGGGAUCUGCAUGGGCAAAAGUACGUAUAGAAGAAAAAGCCUUCCGACAUAUAAUUGAUGGGGCCAUAUGAAAUUAAACCAUUCGUCAAAAAACUUUGUCUAUCUCCACUUUAUUUAACCAUCUACCUUAGCUAAGGAACGAACUAAGAUUUGCUUUGAGUAAAGAAACAUGAGCUACGAGAAUACAAACUGAUCUAUCUUCUUGAUUCUCUUGAAGUUGCUAUUUUCGCUGAUGCUUUAUUCUUCAUGUGAAGCUGCUUCAAGCCUUUCUCUAAAUCAUUGUGGGGGUGUCAAGACCCUAUUCCCUUUUGAAUCGGAAUGAGUGGUUAUUUGGAGAGGUCUUACGAAAUCCAAGGUUGUAAUACCUUAGAUAUCGUAUCCUUUCUCCAGGUAGCAAUUCUUACCGAUUCCGAAAGGGAAUGGAAUCUUGACACUUCACAGUGAUUUAGAAGAAAGGCAAUUUUGUAUUAUUCUUAGCCCUAGUUGGUGAA
Molecule: long non-coding RNA, 1136 nt
Organism: Brassica oleracea var. oleracea
Lineage: Eukaryota; Viridiplantae; Streptophyta; Magnoliopsida; Brassicales; Brassicaceae
Exons: 6
Source: RefSeq, a predicted model, not a curated record